RNAcentral lists this ribosomal RNA (508 nucleotides) under uncultured bacterium. Its description in RNAcentral is "partial 16S ribosomal RNA". It matches the Rfam family "Bacterial small subunit ribosomal RNA", at positions 28 to 523 of the family's 1533-position model. The record is from RNAcentral.
GAUGAACGCUAGCUACGGGCUUAACACAUGCAAGUCGAGGGGAAACGAUAUUGGAAGCUUGCUUCCGAUAGGCGUCGACCGGCGCACGGGUUAGUAACGCGUAUCCAACCUGCCCAUCACUUGGGGAUAACCUUGCGAAAGUAAGAAUAAUACCCAAUGACGUCUCUAGAAGACAUCUGAAAGAGAUUAAAGAUUUAUCGGUGAAGGAUGGGGAUGCGUCUGCUUAGCUUGUUGGCGGGGGAACGGCCCACCAAGGCGACGAUCAGUAGGGGUUCUGAGAGGAAGGUCCCCCACAUUGGAACUGAGACACGGUCCAAACUCCUACGGGAGGCAGCAGUGAGGAAUAUUGGUCAAUGGACGAGAGUCUGAACCAGCCAAGUAGCGUGCAGGAUGACGGCCCUAUGGGUUGUAAACUGCUUUUAUAAGGGAAUAAAGUGAGAGUCGUGACUCUUUUUGCAUGUACCUUAUGAAUAAGGACCGGCUAAUUCCGUGCCAGCCGCCGCGGUAA